UUUAUUAUUUACAUAAUAAAUAAUAAUAAAUUCUAAAUUCCUAAUAAAUAAUAAAUUCCGGUUUGUCAGACAAACCGGAAUUUGUCAGACAAAUGAGAUUUAAACAAGCUAAAUGAUUCCCUUUGUAUAUACAUGUAUAAAAUUCCCACUGUGGACAAAAAUAAAACUCAGCGUCAGUAAAAGUUGAUUGUCUGAAUUUCGACACAACGCUCUGCAGAACGUCUGAAUAUUCAGAAUCAGAAUCAAGUUUAAUCGCCAAGUAGGUUUGCACUUACAAGGAAUUUGACUUGGUGUUGAUGGUGCAGACAAAAAUCGGGAAGUCUUACAAAAACUGCAAUCUUUGUAUCAGCUGACCAUCACACUUUCCUUCAGAAGGUGUUUAUCUUCUCCAUGUGGGCAGCUCCAGAUUUCAGUCGCCUUUGUUAGCAAGGCUUUGAAACUGGAUUUAAUCAACAGAUUUAUUUGCUGGAAAAUCCACAAUAAGUCAAAACUGAUUAUUAUUUUUUAAAUUAACUGAAGUCCUAUGUUUUAUAUUGACUCCACUCUGGAAAAACUGUGACAGUAAUGAGUAGAUGUAAACUUUUGACUGCAACAGUAUAAACUUGUUUCAUCAACUGUAUUUCUACUGUAGAUGGCGAGGAAGUCACCAGUGGAAAGGUCUGCCAGAACUUGGACUUCUGUGUUGGAAGAAAAACUCUUCUCAUAAUUUCUAUAUUUUUAUAAUUUGACAGAUCUGACCAGUGUACGAGGUAGUAAGGAAUCCCUUGAGGAUUUCUAAGCUGAUGACCAAGAGACCCAUGAUGAAAUUGAGAAUUGAUCAGUAGAGCCAAGUGGUCCAGAAACAUCUGAAGAAGGUUCUGCAGUCUAGGACCAAAGCUGAAACAGUCUUCAUCCGUGUGAGGAACUGCUGUGGACCGGUCCUCUCUGGGAAGACGUGACGGACCUCAGAGCUGUUUAACCUGCAGCUAUCUAGUAUUUAUUAGAUGAGCUGAUGUUUCAGAUAUUUGUGCAGAACUGACAGCAACGAUCUUCUGCAGAGGGACAUUUGUCUCCAUCUCAGCAGCAAGUUGAGGAAGCAGUGAAACAUCUGCUGUCAGGAGAGAUGAACAUGACUGCAUGAACGGAAAUACUAAAUGACCAAAGAUGCCUGACUCUAAUCGUGUCUCUGCAGAAAUGUUUCUUUUAGCUUUUUUAAAACACAACAACAGUAAAUUAUAAGGUUUAUCUCAUCAAAUCUUUCUCAUUAUGAGUUGGAUAAACUGUUUGUCAAUCAGUGGAUCAGCAGCAACAAACUUUUAUCAGAAACCUUUGCACAAAGCAAGUUAAUCAUGUAAAUAUAAACUUGUUCUGUGGUUUUAUUGCUGUAAUGUUUUUGUCUUUAUAUUGUUGUACAUAUUUGUGUGUUUGAGUCUUAAAGCAUAUUUUCAUAUUAGAAACACCCUGAGCUCAGUGUUUCUCAACUUUUAUUUGGGAUAUUAUUUAGAAAUCAGGACAACAUCAAGUUUAAGGUUCUAUAUCCUAAUGUGUUGCUGCUGGAUAUUGGGGAAUUUUUUUUUAUUCUGGAGAAUUUAAACUUUUAAUGGUGCCAGAUGAUCUGAGAGACUUGAAUUCCUGCAGUAGAUGCAACAUAUGCCCAGAGGUUUACUUUAUAUCUUAAACUGCAUCUUUUUCUCCCUAAAGACCAACAUACUAAAGAGAAAGAUACACUUGCAUUGGAGGACGGAUAAAGGUUUAAUAUAACUGUGAAACUGAAGACUAUCUGAGCUGUGAUUUAAAAGUGUGAGCGUUUUUGGUUGACAUGUGGCAGCUGAAUUCGCUGUAUCCCCACCAGGGGGCAGAAGAGACCACUUGUUACAACGUUGAAGUUUGUGUUUGGCAUGAAAAAUGAGAAAUAAAUGUUUGUAUGAA
This is a long non-coding RNA of Fundulus heteroclitus (mummichog), 1908 nucleotides long. RefSeq lists it as uncharacterized. Lineage: Eukaryota; Metazoa; Chordata; Actinopteri; Cyprinodontiformes; Fundulidae. The record is from RefSeq and is a predicted model, not a curated record. The transcript is spliced from 2 exons.